RNAcentral lists this ribosomal RNA (514 nucleotides) under uncultured Pseudomonadota bacterium. Its description in RNAcentral is "bacterial SSU rRNA". It matches the Rfam family "Bacterial small subunit ribosomal RNA", at positions 392 to 896 of the family's 1533-position model. Lineage: Bacteria; Pseudomonadati; Pseudomonadota. The record is from RNAcentral.
CCAUGCCGCGUGUGUGAAGAAGGCCUUACGGGUUGUAAAGCACUUUCGGACGGAACGAAAUCGCGCGGGUUAACAGCCCGCGUGGAUGACGGUACCGUAAGAAGAAGCACCGGCUAACUACGUGCCAGCAGCCGCGGUAAUACGUAGGGUGCAAGCGUUAAUCGGAAUUACUGGGCGUAAAGGGUGCGCAGGCGGCCCCGCAUGUCAGGCGUGAAAUCCCCGAGCUCAACUUGGGAAUGGCGUCUGAAACUACGGGGCUGGAGUGUGGCAGAGGGAGGUGGAAUUCCAGGUGUAGCGGUGAAAUGCGUAGAGAUCUGGAGGAACACCGAUGGCGAAGGCAGCCUCCUGGGCCAACACUGACGCUCAUGCACGAAAGCGUGGGGAGCAAACAGGAUUAGAUACCCUGGUAGUCCACGCCCUAAACGAUGACGACUAGUUGUUGGGGGAGUUAAAUCCCUUAGUAACGCAGCUAACGCGUGAAGUCGUCCGCCUGGGGAGUACGGUCGCAAGAUUA